This 345-nucleotide long non-coding RNA is filed under the name Ananas comosus (pineapple). Its description in RNAcentral is "long non-coding RNA (ACOM_LNC000795)". Lineage: Eukaryota; Viridiplantae; Streptophyta; Magnoliopsida; Poales; Bromeliaceae. The record is from RNAcentral.
GUAACAUACCAGAUUUUGGUAUAAAAAUAAAAAUAAAUAAAAAUAGUGUGAGAAACUAUUUUUAUUGAAUUUCGAAAAGUAAAAUAUAAGUCAGAAGUGACUUGUGCUGAAAUCGGAAUGAAAACAGAAGAUUUAGAAUUUUCUGUUGGAAACGGGACAGAUAAAUUAGCAGAAAAUGCACAGUCUCAGAAAAUUAUAAAAACUGGAGGAUAAGCUAGAAUUAUUUUUAUGAGGCUAGAUUUAAAGUUUCAUGUCAUUCUGACACCCGGAAGGUGGAAAAUAAAAUCUGACAACUAUCUAAUAAAGAUUACAGUUCGGUACAGUUUUCGGUUACCAAACGGGGUC